CCUACGGGCGGCAGCAGUAGGGAAUAUUGCUCAAUGGGGGAAACCCUGAAGCAGCAACGCCGCGUGGAGGAUGAAGGUUUUCGGAUCGUAAACUCCUUUUGUUAGAGAAGAUAAUGACGGUAUCUAACGAAUAAGCACCGGCUAACUCCGUGCCAGCAGCCGCGGUAAUACGGAGGGUGCAAGCGUUACUCGGAAUCACUGGGCGUAAAGAGCGCGUAGGCGGGAUAGCAAGUCAGAUGUGAAAUCCUAUGGCUUAACCAGAGAACUGCAUUUGAAACUGUUAUUCUAGAGUAUGGGAGAGGUAGGUGGAAUUCUUGGUGUAGGGGUAAAAUCCGUAGAGAUCAAGAGGAAUACUCAUUGCGAAGGCGACCUGCUAGAACAUAACUGACGCUGAUGCGCGAAAGCGUGGGGAGCAAACAGGAUUAGAUACCCCGGUAGUC
This 440-nucleotide ribosomal RNA is filed under the name uncultured bacterium. Its description in RNAcentral is "partial 16S ribosomal RNA". It matches the Rfam family "Bacterial small subunit ribosomal RNA", at positions 338 to 795 of the family's 1533-position model. The record is from RNAcentral.